GAGGCUAUAGCUCAAGGCAUAGAGCGCAUGCUUAGCAUGCAUAGUCCUGGGUUCAAUCCCCAGUACUUCCU
RNAcentral lists this transfer RNA (71 nucleotides) under Camelus bactrianus (Bactrian camel). It matches the Rfam family "tRNA". Rfam says of the family: Transfer RNA (tRNA) molecules are approximately 80 nucleotides in length. Their secondary structure includes four short double-helical elements and three loops (D, anti-codon, and T loops). The record is from Rfam by way of RNAcentral. Lineage: Eukaryota; Metazoa; Chordata; Mammalia; Artiodactyla; Camelidae. RNAcentral also lists the same sequence under 2 other names.